RNAcentral lists this unclassified non-coding RNA (1709 nucleotides) under Drosophila ananassae. RNAcentral describes it as "GF17899". Lineage: Eukaryota; Metazoa; Arthropoda; Insecta; Diptera; Drosophilidae. The record is from RNAcentral.
UUUAGUUUGUCGCAGGUUCGGGAAUGCCACAAAAGUUAAAAGUCAAUCCAAGAGAUCAAAAUGUCUUCGGAACAAAGCCAACAAGACGUUGAGGCAAAAGCAAACACGGUUGCCCCAAAAAAUGAAAGUGGAGAUCGGAGUGCUGGUCACGAUUAUGAGGAUGUGCUUCAACUAAUCGGAUUCGGGCGUGUGCAAUGGAUUGUCCUCUUGGCGGCAGGACUCCUCCUGAUGAUGGUCAUAAACGAGACCAUGGGCAUGUCCUAUAUAACCAUUGUGUCCCAGUGUGAUUUUGAAAUGAAUUCAAAAGAUAAAGCCAUUAUGAGUGCUGCCAGUUUUAUCGGAAUAUUCUGUUCCUCAUAUUUUUGGGGAUAUUUGAGUGACACUAUAGGUCGCAGACCGGUAUUGAUUUAUACCACCAUUGCUGGAAAUGUGCUAUCUGUGUGCUCUAUUUUUAUUCCAAACUAUUGGUUCUACGUCUUUCUACGUUUUGGUGUAGGAUUCUUCAUUGCUGGAGCCUCUUCCACGACUUAUGCGUACUUGGGAGAAUUCUUUACUCCCCGACACCGUCCCAUUGCCAUAAACUACGCCAGUCUUUUUGUGGGAAUUUCCACGGUCUAUGUGCCAGCCAUUGCCUGGCUGGUGCUAUCCAUGGAUUGGAGUAUUAGUGUGACGGAUGACUUUGCUUUCCGUCCUUGGCGACUUCUUACCAUUUGCUAUAUGCUCCCCGGAGUAAUAGGAACCAUAAUGCUGUGGACUUUACCGGAAAGUCCCAAGAUUCUAUUGUCCUUACACAAAACGGAAGAGGCUUUUUCGGUAGCGGAUUGGAUUGCAGUGAAAAACUCAGGGAAACAUUUGCAUGAAUUCAAAGUACAAAAACUAAAAACAGAAGGUUGUUCUGAUGGAGAGAAUAUUCUACUCAUAUCUAAAUCAGCCAACCAUAAAGAAAAUGUGGAAGGAAACACUGCCACUUCUGAAAAGACCGCACCUGGUAAACUUUGUUAUAAGUUGCACAAUCAUGUGUGGCCUAUUUUUCAGUUCCUCUGGCAUGGGUCUUUGGUAUCCAGAGAUUCAAAACCGUUUGGGUUCUGCGGACUCUGACAAUUUAACAGUCUGCAACGUUAUCGAUGCCUCCAUUGAUCAAAUGCAAGCCAAUCAGACUAAUAAAGUGUGUGAUGAUCACAUAAACACCAAGAGCUACGUUGAUACAAUCACUUAUGGAACCGCCUUAAUAGUGGGCUACAUCUUAAUGGGCCUUGUCAUAAACAAAAUUGGACGAAAGGCUUCCAUUUUCCUUGGCCUUACCUUCGCUGGAGCCUGUGCUCUAGCCCUGAUUUGGAUCAAAGACGAUGUGGCUAUUGUGAUAGCCUUCUGUUUGUAUUUGGUCCUGCCAGGGCUUUGCAUAUCGAUCCUCAGUGGAGCUGUAGUGGAUCUUGUUCCAACCCAUCUCCGCGGAAAAGCAGUAUGUAUUUGUCUGAUGCUCGGAAGAACAGGAAGCGUUUUUGGUAGCAACAUUAUUGGAGUACUACUGGACGCCUAUUGCACUGCGACAUUCGGGGUUUUCUCUGGAUUUGUUUUACUCUGCGCCUUAUUGACGUUGAUACUGCCUAUUUGAGAUUGUUAUGUUAUUUAAUAUAAUUUAGAUUAAUUUAUAUUUAAUUUUAGUUUAGAGUAAACUAAAUAUUGUUGUUUAAAAUGAAUAAACAGUUUUG